Hippopotamus amphibius kiboko is the source of this 866-nucleotide long non-coding RNA. RefSeq lists it as uncharacterized. The transcript has 3 exons. The record is from RefSeq and is a predicted model, not a curated record. NCBI's taxonomy places the organism in Eukaryota, Metazoa, Chordata, Mammalia, Artiodactyla, Hippopotamidae.
GGGAUACCAUGUUUGAGGAAAAGUAUGAGAUAAAGAGUAAUCUCUCUCUGGAACAUGAAGAACAGGAUGGAAAGGAUUGCAGGUACUAAGAAUUUGUCAAAGUGAAUACCUGCAGACAAGGUCAAUAUUUCCCUCAGAAAACAAUUUGGGAUUAUUCCAACAACCUAACUGAGGCCGGAGGGGCUUUCGUGCUCUCGCAAGAGGCGGGAAAGAGCGCGGGGCUUGAGAGAUGGCGGACGACGUAGACCAGGCGCUGUUGUAAGCCUUCGUUGAUGUCAUUUAAGCCUCUCAAAAACAGUGUUAGCAACAAACCACCAACACUGUAGAAGAGCCCCUGGAUCUCAUCAGGCUCAGCCUGGAUGAACGAAUCUAUGUGAAAAUGAGAAACGACAGAGCGCUUCGAGGCAGGUUACAUGCUUAUGAUCAACAUUUAAAUAUGAUAUUGGGAGAUGUGAAAGAAACUGUGACAACUAUAGAAAUUGAUGAAGAAACAUAUGAAGAGAUAUAUAAAUCAACAAAACGGAAUAUUCCGAUGCUCUUUGUCCGGGGAGACGGUGUUGUGCUAGUUGCCCCGCCCUUGAGAGUUGGCUGAAACAAAGAAUUUAUCCUGUGUGGAAAAUAGAUUUUGUAUGAUUGCCUCUUUAAAUGUAGAAGAUAUUCAAAAGAGAAACCGGCGUACAUUUUGAUACUAAGACAUAACCAAGAUUUCUUCCACACCUGAAAUAAGUUGAUUUGCAGAUAACUCACAAAUUCUUCAGCUAAAUGGCAUUUUUAUUUUCCUCCAACCCUUCCAAUAAAUGUGAUCACCAAGAUGCAGAACUUUUUCAGGAGUUGAUUUGCUCCAUUGUUUUUUUCGGACAAUUUCU